CAGCAGCCGCGGGAAUACGGAGGGGGCUAGCGUUGUUCGGAAUUACUGGGCGUAAAGCGCACGUAGGCGGCUUGGUAAGUUAGAGGUGAAAGCCCGGAGCUCAACUCCGGAAUUGCCUUUAAGACUGCCGAGCUAGUAGGUGAGAGGGGUAAGUGGAAUUCCGAGUGUAGAGGUGAAAUUCGUAGAUAUUCGGAAGAACACCAGUGGCGAAGGCGGCUUACUGGCUCAUUCUAGACGCUGAGGUGCGAAAGCGUGGGGAGCAAACAGGAUUAGAUACCCGCGUAGUCCCUGUCUCUUAUAC
Molecule: ribosomal RNA, 301 nt
Filed under: uncultured bacterium
Lineage: Bacteria
Description: partial 16S ribosomal RNA
Rfam family: Bacterial small subunit ribosomal RNA
Source: RNAcentral